GCGUCCCACUUCUCAAAUUUCCCGCCAGUUCGUCUUCUUCCUAUCGGGGGAAAUCGUUUCUAAUCUCUCGUCUCUUCUUCUACUCCACUUCCACCUACUGCUUCGAACUUGACUGUGUUUUUCAAUGCUUUCUUCCUCCAAUCUCUCAUCGGUGUUGCCUCUACUGUUCGUUCAACGUUGUUCAUUUCAUUGAUUUCAGGAUCGAAAUGGUUGAUUCGCAUUUUGAAUCGAUUUUACUAGAGAAGUUACUCAUCUUCCGAUAUCAGGAUUUACUUGAGGAAUUCUCCGUCUCCAGAACUUUGAAGCAGUUUGAACGGUCAUCUGAUCUACUUGCAUCGAUUUUACUAAAGAAGUUACUUAUUUGGUCUCAAAUUUACACUAACAAUUACAAGAAGAUGUGGUGGACUAUGAAUAAGUACACAUUAGUUCUUGUUACAACUUGCUGGGAACGAACCAUGAAUUGAUACGCAGUUUAUUCUGUUCCGACAAGAAGGACCAAGCAAUAGAGGGCAAUAUUCAGGUAAGUGCUUUAUCUUUUUCUCAUGGAUUCUUUCUGAUCUAUCCUUCUCAUUUAGAAUCCUUAUCAUCACUAGUUUUACACAAUAAAUGGAAAUUCCCAGUUCUUUUUUCGUUUUCUUUUCUUCUUUCUCAUCUUUUAAAAAAAUAUUAUUUUGAUUUAUUUAUAACAAAAUUAAAAAAUUUACAUGCUUUUAAUUUAAAAUUUAAAAAACAACUGGAUACAAAUUCAAAUAUACAUUCAAAAGGAUAAAAUUGCAUAUUAUAUUAUAACGUCUUUUUUAAUAUUUUCUUAGUUCAUACUUAAUUUUAUGACUUCAUAUCAUUUCAAGUCUUCGUAUCAUUUCAAGUCGUAAGAUAUUCGGAUUACAUUUAUACAAAACAAACUACUUUUUGGCUUUGAAAAGAAUUAUUUUAAACUUCAAAUUUGUUACAAAUUAACAUUUUUUUCAAUUUAGCUUUUAGUUUACAAAGAGGAUGUCUUCUUUUGUCAUUCCAUCAAUAGCUUUUAGUUUACAAAAAAGAUACUUUCUUUUAGUUUAAGUCAAAAAUUUCCAUUGAUGGAAAAAAUGCAUGUUAAUGAUUUGCCAGUAGUGUAGUAAUAUAUGUGACACAUGGCUAAUUCUAUGGUGCCCUUGAACUUUAAUUCAAGUUUACAAAAAUGACUCCAAAACCAGAAUUGAUUUUAGUAAUUAAAGAUGUAUUUUUAAGUAAAUUUAUACAUGAUUUUAACGAUUUGAAAAUUAUUAUGAAGCAUGUACUUUGAGAAGAAUCUUUUGAACAAAUAAAAUCCUUAUAGGACGCCAUUGUAAUUUUGAAUCUAUAUUGAAAGGAGAAAUCAUUUUUGCUCGAUUAUUCCAAAUGAUAAGAAAUAAAAGAGCCAAUAUGAUUUUUUUUGAAAAAAACUACCAAUGUAAAUUGCGAAAUGUCUGGGAGGGAAUAUACACUUUUUAGCAUGUUGAGCAACAAUUUGAUGUAUAAUAUUUAUCUUUUAUAUAAAUAAUUAACCCAACUUGGGUGCAUUUCUUUGAUUUUAUUCUGAUGAAGUAUAUAUGUUUUAUUAUUUUUAGCUGCUAAUAGUUGGAAUAUUUGUAUGAUUAUAUAUCCCUGUGUAGGUGCCCUUUGGGAUUGUUUUAUGAAAGAUUCCUAACCAUUUCCUAUUUUUCUUUUUCGGGAGUGCACUCCAACACUGCUUUUAUGUUAGUUGGUCACUUACCCACAAAAAUCACAGAAUUUAGUUUUAUAAUGACAACUUUAUUCUAUAUGAGAUAAGCUUUGAAAUAAAUAUGUAUUUAAAUUUAACAUUUUCACUAAAUAAAUGUCUCUGAGUUGUACA
Molecule: long non-coding RNA, 1852 nt
Organism: Cucumis sativus (cucumber)
Lineage: Eukaryota; Viridiplantae; Streptophyta; Magnoliopsida; Cucurbitales; Cucurbitaceae
Exons: 4
Source: RefSeq, a predicted model, not a curated record